CCAUGAAAAUGAGAAUCAGUGAUCUGGGUAGGGAGAUAAUAAUCAAAUCAGCGGGAAAUGGAAAUGAAUUCAACCGAACCUGAUGAGUGUUAUUAAAUGGCACAUUCAAAGCUGCAUUGAAGUUAGGUGUGUAUGUUUGGCACGUAGUUGAUGCGAAAAGGCACGCUCUUUCUUAGGAAAAGUAUUCAAGUCAGUGGCAAGCAGAUAAAUGGCUGCAGGUUAUAUCACAGCUCGAAAGUGAUCGCAUUGAUUACACGGCGGCGUUUCCGUUACAACUCUCCUCUAGAAGUGUAGUCUUUAUUUCACAUCCAUCGAAUGUAUUUUAUAUAUAUUUUUGGAUAUUAUUUCACAUCAAUAUUCAA
This is a non-coding RNA of Momordica charantia (bitter melon), 362 nucleotides long. Lineage: Eukaryota; Viridiplantae; Streptophyta; Magnoliopsida; Cucurbitales; Cucurbitaceae. The record is from RefSeq and is a predicted model, not a curated record.